This is a long non-coding RNA of Peromyscus californicus insignis, 7272 nucleotides long. RefSeq lists it as uncharacterized. The record is from RefSeq and is a predicted model, not a curated record. Lineage: Eukaryota; Metazoa; Chordata; Mammalia; Rodentia; Cricetidae. The transcript is spliced from 3 exons.
CCGCUUUCUCCUGCCCGCCAGUCUUGAAGAGCUUUUGGGACCCUGUACCUGUACCGCCCACCAUUUUUCCGGCUGGAGGACCUCCGGAAACUCUUCACCCUUUCGGAUACAACAGACUAUUGGCAGAAUAAUGAAGAAACCGUUUCUAAUACCAACAUGCACAGAACCGCCUGGAUAAACGGAGGACAUGACCUCCCUCUACAAGGGUCACCCCGAGAACCACGAAAAUUCCUGGUCCCAGCAAGCAAAGUGACCGUUGAGGGGCAGGAAGCCAACGUGGACACAAUACGAUCCUGUCCUGGGCGCUCCUUCCUGAUCCUGCUAAGCGGGGGUCCCAACAGCUGCCAUCACACACAAAUGGAUUCCCUGGGCUGAAGAAGGUUCUUAAGGGCUAAUCCGUGGCAAGACACAGCAACUGUUUGUCUCAUGAGCAGACAGACAGGCAGCCAUGGGGAAAGACAUUUUCAAAAGAAAUUCCUUUCCAAGUAAAUGAAAACAACAUUAACUUCCUCAAAACAUUUCCAGAAUGCAGCCCCGUUUCCGGUGUUUGUUAAGCUGGGUCCGUAUCUCAGUGUGACGGGCUUUCUCCCCCAAGAGGAGGUGGUUGGGUGCAACCUAUUUCUUAAGACAAAUGCAUUCAUAAAUAGGAGAGCCGCUCCUCUACUCUCCUAAGAAUGAACUAAAAAUAUCAAACCAAGCAGGUCUCCAGCUCCCACUCUGCAUGCAUGGAGCCGGACUUUUCCUUUGUCAGGAGCAUUAGGUAACUUUAUUUAUUCCCUGCUUUGUAACAGAUGAUUUCAGGGUGAGUUCUGUAAGCCUCAGUUACAAAGCCCGCUCUAAACUGGCUCUGGAGAAGAUGGAUAACCAUCACAUGGAAACUUUAAGAAUUCAUACUGUAAAGUGCUCAAGGCAGAAAGCAGUAUUAUAGGGGCUGAGGGGGCUUGCUGCCCAAGCAGUGAGAACAGAGUUCAGAUCCCAGCAUCACAUAAAAGCUGGGCUUGUCAGACCUGUAACCCCAAACCUAACUAGGGGAGAGGAACAGGACAGACAGGUCCCCAGGACUCACUGGACAGGAAGCCUAGCCAAGAUGGUGAGCCGGACAUGUCACUAGAGAUAAGGUGGAAAGCAAAGGAAGAAAGGCAGAAUCAACCUCUGGCCUUCAUAUGGCACAUAGUACAUCCACACAUGGUGUGCUCAUGUAUAUUCCUAUUACACACACACACACACACACACACACACACACACACGGGGAGAGGGAGGGGAGGAGAGGAGAAAAAUACAAUGAAAACCUUUUUUUUUUUUUUUUCUGAGGCAGGAUUUCUCUGUGCAGCUCUGGCUGUCCUGUGUGUAGCCCAGGCUGGUCUCGAACUCAGAGAUUGCCUGCCUCUGCCUCCUGAGUGCUGGGAUUAAAGGCAUGUGCCACCACCACCCAGUUUACCGAAAAAGUUUUAAAGUACUGGUUUUGUUGAUGACAUAGUCACCCACAUAUCAAAAUGUUCUUGAUUUUGUUGUGUUUUCUUUUUCUUACGAAGUUUCCCCCAAUCUCUCCAUCUACUACCCUGGACCAAGCUUUCAUUGACAGCUGCCUGGACUAUUGAAAAGUACUAACCCACUAUGCUGUUCCCAGCUUCCCUCCUUACAGUGGACACUUUUGACAGUUCUGAUGCACUGCUGUCCGAAUAACCUGCUAAAACGUGGCCUUCCCAUUACUACCCUUCCACCUUAGAACCUCAGCCAGUUCCCCGACACAAAUCAUCAGCGCUCUGGCACCCAGACGCAUCUCUCCUUCUCAGUCUCCUCUGUCCUGUAAUUGCUUUGUUCCGAUGUCUUUCUGGUCAAUGGCACCACGUCCCAAACCAUCUUGUUUUCCUGAUGGCCACUCGCUGUAGCACCUUCACUGUCCACAGUGCUAAUGAUCCUUCAGGGCUGAUCCAGUACCACGUCUGCACAACUCUAACGGGAACACUUCAGCCGGGUCCCCUGUCCUCAGCACCACGGCACCUACCUAUGCACUCAUGAGACAUGAGCCAGUGUGGUUAUAUUCCAGCUCUCUUUAGAUCAAUGUAUUGUUCCUCCUACACCAAUCUAAGCCACUUGAGAAUACUGACUCAUUUCUUUUACUACAGAGAAUGUGCUCACCUCAUGCUGAGCAACUUGAAUGGCUACUGAAUAGACUUGCCUUCAGUGAGUUUAGCUUCUUGAGAGGUGUAUACGCACCCCAGGGGUACACUAGGAACACAGGAAAUAAAAAAUAAAGAUGGCAAUGCAUCUUUGAUAAGUUCAUUUUACUUCAGGAACUCCAGACAUUAUCUUAAAAAUGAAACCAAAAUAAUCCAGAGUAGAUUUGCAUUUACAAGUGAAUUUUUAAGAUAAUAAAAUUUAAUACGUGUUUAGUGAUCCACAUUUGUAAUCCCAUCACUUGUGAGGCAGAGGCAGGAGGCUUACACACAUUCAAGGAUAAUCUGGUUUUCAAAGUGAGUCCUGAGCCAGUAAAAAACUGUUUCAAAUGACCUCAGAGAGACAAAGAGCAGAGGCUCGUUAGACGGCUCAGAUGAAGCGGUUGGUUCUCAACCUUCCUCACGCUGCGGCCCUUUAAUAAAGUUCCUCAUGUGGCAGUGACCCUCAACCGUAAAUUAUUUCAUUAUUACUUCAUAACUAUAAUUUUGAAACUGUUAUGAACUGCAAUAUAAAUAUCUGAUAGGCAGGCAACAACACAUAUACAUCACACAGUGCAGGCAACAGCACAUACACCAUAUAGUGCAGGCGACAACACAUGUACAUCACACAGUGCAGGCGACAGCACAUAUAUACCAUACAAGCAUACACAAAAUAAUGAUAAAGUUAGACUACAAAAAAAAAGAGAAGAAAACCAUCUAAGCAAACAAACCAGUACAAUUUAAAAUGAAAUGGGAGCUGUCAAAUAUGUGUCUAGCCCUCAAAAGUUAUUUUGAACAAUACUUUCGGGUCAUCUGUUCCUUCUAGAAGUGAGUUUGAAUCCUUGUGCCAGUGGGAACAUUUGUGUGGCAGUGUCUAAGAAUCACCCUACGGAUUUCAAACGAGGAAUGGGAGCAAAGCGCAGCCGUCUCCCCUUUUCGUCUUUAUUGAUACCGUCUCUGUUUUCAUCCUCGUGGGUAACAGAGACUAACUCUGAAGCUUGUCUUCCAAGUCUAGGCACCCUUGGUUAGUGGAUGCUUGUGGCAUCAGGUGUAAAUGCUGGGAAUGGAGUUUAGUAUGAAUACUCCCAAAAUUACCGAUAUUUAGAAGCCUAAAUGGCGAUGAUUUCCCCCAAACGAGAGCCAUCCUCCACAAGAGUGGCUCAUGCUUUCCAACAAUGUAAGGAAUAAAAAGCAUGUUUUAGUUCAAAACCAAAAGUGGUUUUAAAAGCAUUUUGAGGGUUUAAUUGACUUUUUAUCUUAAUUUACUGGUUUUGAAAGCCAGAGUAAUUUUGUGUUCUACUUUUGAAGGUGAAAUUUAUUAUUUGAGCCUGAAAAAAGAAGUCUUUGUAUCUGAGUAGAUGUGCCUACCCACUUGUCUCUCUCCCUAUCUUCCACUCCAGCUACAGGGGCUCCAAAGCCCUCUUCUCGCCUCCCCAGGUUCCCGUACAUACAUGAAGACAAACACACAUACACACAAACAAUUAAAAUAAACCUUAAAACUUUUAAAUAAUGCUGGGCGGUGAUGGCGCACACCUUUAAUCUCAGCACUGAGGAGGCAAGUGGAUCUCUAUGAGGUCCGGGACAGCCAGGACUACGCAGAGAAACCAUGUCUCCAACAAACAAACAAACUUUUAAAUAAAAACGAGAGACUCCAGUGUAGCUGGAGUUUUCUCCAGUUCUGCUCAGUCCCAGGGACCCCACAACCGCUUAUAAAAUAAUCUUUCAGAAGCUCAUAUUAGUUAAACUGCUCGGCCAUUAGCUCAGGCUGCUGUGGGAUGGUCUGUAUGUCAAAUGUGUUGCUGAUUGGUCAAUAAAUAAAUCACUGAUUGGUCAGUGGCCAGGCAGGAAGUAUAGGCGGGACAAGGAGGAGAAUAAAGCUGGGAAGUGGAAGGCUGAAUCAGAGAGACACUGCCAGCCGCCAUGAUGACAAGCUGCAUGUGAAGAUGCCGGUAAGCCACGAGCCAUGUAGCAAGGUAUAGAUUUAUAGAAAUGGAUUAAUUUAAGCUGUAAGAACAGUUAGCAAGAAGUCUGCCACGGCCAUACAGUUUGUAAGCAAUAUAAGUCUCUGUGUUUAUUUGGUCGGGUCUGAGCGGCUGUGGGACUGGCAGGUGAGAGAGAUUUGUCCUGACUGUGGGCCAGGCAGGAAAACUCUAGCUACAAAUGGCAUCCAACGUGGUGGCAAGAGUUUCCACCUAAAAACUGAGAAAAAAGAUUCUAAAACGGAGCUAAAAACAGCUUCCUAAUUGUCUCUCUCAAAUGAGCGGCAGCUGCCGGUUUGAGCUACUUGUGGGUUCCUAGUGUGAGCGCUUGACCAGCAGUAUGGCGGGAAUGAGGCCUCUGCAAGUGGCACAUUAAGCUGCACAGUGGAUUUAGCCUUUGCUAGUACAAAACAAAAAAAGAGGUUUCUGGGCUACAUGCUGCUUGGCUAAAAGCAUAGACCCACGAUAGCUCCCAGAGCUGGCGGAAAACCACCGCCAUGUUGGGAAGCUGAGGUGGGCGGAGCCAGCAGCCACAGCUGCUGCAGCUUAAAGCAAUAGAUUCACAAUAAGACAGAUUCAGAUGUAAUAGUUUACAAUGUGUGUAAAAUAUACGUAGGCUUGAAAGAGACAAAAAAGGUGAUAUAUACAGUUAUAUAAACAAAUACAUAGUUUUAAAAAAUAAAGUCUUUAAAGGGACAGUAAAAUUAAUAUAAAAAAUAAGCCACGUGAAGAUGACUAUUACACAGAGAAUCUGGAUUGUGUUGUCUUUGGGAUUUUUAACUGCAGAAAAACAUUUGAUUGUAAAAGCUGUUGAGUUAUGCCAAAAUGUAUAUUUUAAAGGUACCUUGACUUCAAAAUUUGGAUAUAAGGAUAUGUUGCUUUGGAAAGGAGAUUCUGCUUUUGUUCCCACAGAAAGCCAGAGGCUAUGGAUUUGUUCCAGAUUAAGAUACAUCAGGUUUGACCAGCCAAGACCCCCUGAAAGGUGACACCAAGGCCCAGAUGAUCCAACAUCCAGAAUGGUUUCAAGGCAACUGGCUCAGAUGAUACAGCCUCACGGACUACUCCAUGAUCCUAAAAUUUUCUUUGUUUCCCCAGAAGAUGCAGCGCCCCCCUCCAGCAGGAAGUAGUAAGAGAAGCUACGCCCAAAUUCCCAAAUAUACCAAGCUGACUUUGGAGAUGUGUAAAGGUUAAAACCUUCCUUUUUAAGAAAAGAAAAGGGGAAGUGCUGUGGGAUGGUCUGUAUGUCAAAUGUGUUGCUGAUUGGUCAAUAAAUAAAUCACUGAUUGGUCAGUGGCCAGGCAGGAAGUAUAGGUGGGACAAGGAGGAGAAUAAAGCUGGGAAGUGGAAGGCUGAGUCAGAGAGAGACACUGCCAGCCGCCAUGAUGACAAGCCGCAUGUGAAGAUGCCGGUAAGCCACGAGCCAUGUGGCAAGGUAUAGUUUUAUAGAAAUGGAUUAAUUUAAGCUGUAAGAAUAGUUAGCAAGAAGUCUGCCACGGCCAUACAGUUUGUAAGCAAUAUAAGUCUCUGUGUUUACUUGGUCGGGUCUGAGUGGCUGUGGGACUGGCGGGUGAGAGAGAUUUGCCCUGACUGUGGGCCAGGCAGGAAAACUCUAGCUACACUCAGGCCUACUACUGACUAGCUCUUACACUUAAACUUGGCCCAUUUCUGUUAAUCUAUAUGUUGCCAUGUGUUCCUGGCUUUACCUGCUGCCUUUACAUGCUGUUCCCUGGACGGCAGGCUGGCGUCUCCUGACUCAGCCUUCCUGUUCCCAGAAUUCUCUUCUCUGCUUGUCCCACCUAUACUUCCUGCCUGGCUACUGGCCAAUCAGCAUUUUAUUAAUACAGAGCAAUUAUCCACAGCACUCCAGGGUGGUUCCUGUAGAAUGUGAACUGAGGUUUCGGCUUUUCCACUUACCUGCUGCUUGUACUAUUCCACUUACCCCCCAAAGUCCCAUCUUGAUUCUGUAAAGCUGGGCAUAUUAAUAACUACUUUUGAAAUAAUAGGAGAGUAAAAGAAAAUGUUUUAAAGGCGCCAUGUAGGUUGGGGAUGUGUCUUAGCUAGUGUCUUAGUUACUGCUCUAUUGCUGUGAAGAGACACCACAACCAUGACCAUGGCAACUCUUACAAAGGAAAACAUUUAAUUGAGGUGGUGGCUUACAGUUUCAGAGGUUCAGUCCAUUAUCAUCCUGGUGAGACAAGAUGGCAGGCAGGCAGAUAUAGUGCUGGAGAAGUAGCUGAGAGUCCUACAUCUUGCAGGCAAUAGGAAGUCAACUGAGACACUGGCUGGUAUUCUGAGCAUAGGAAACUUCAAAGCUCAUCCCCACAGUGACACACUUCCUCUAACAAGGCCAUAUCCACUCCAACAAAGCCACACCUCUUAAUAGUGCCAUUCCCUCUCAGAUUAUGGGGGCCAAUUCCAUUCAGAUUGCCACAGCUGGUAAAGGGCUUGACUGACAUUUAGAAAGCCUUCAUUGAGUUCAGGCUCCAGCACUGUUUAAACUGGGACAACACUGCUUGCCUGUGGUCCCAGCACACAGAAAACUAAGGCAGGAAGAUUAUUGUGAGUUCAAGGGUCAACCUGGGCUACAUGAGAGCCUGCAUUCAAACAAAUAACAACAACAAAAAGCUGAUGGAAGGUACACCAAUUCCAAACAAAGACAAAAAUAUGAUGAAAGUCACCAUAUAAAUGCAAGUGGUUUGUUUGUUUGGUUUGGUUUGUUUUUGUUUCUGUUUGCUUGUUUGGUUGGUUUUUAGUUUCUUGAAACAGAGCUUCUCUGUAUAGCCCUGGCUGUCCUGGAACUCACUUUGUAGACCAGGCUGGUCUCUAACUCACAGAGAUCUGCCUGCCUCUGCAAGUGCUGGGAUUAAAGGCAUGUGCUACCACACCCUGCCCUUGUUUUGUUUUUUAACAUAAUUUUCCCCAGCAAAAAUUAUAGUUUGAGGGAGUUUAGAAAUGUAGCUUAUUUGCUUACCUAACAGUGAAGCCCUGGAUUUGAUUCCCAGCACUGCAUAAGCUGGACAUGGUGGUGAACACCUUCUAACGCCUUCUAACAUUCCAUUUGGGAGAUGGAAUCAGGAAGAUCAGAGGUUCCAGGCCAUCUUUCUACACUGAGCAAAUUUGAGGGUAGCUUAGCUAUA